GGAUUGUGGCUCAGUGGUAGAGUAUUCACCUAGCAUGUGCCAGGCCCUGGGUUCGAUCCUCAGCACCA
This 68-nucleotide transfer RNA is filed under the name Marmota monax (woodchuck). Its description in RNAcentral is "tRNA.Ala". The record is from RNAcentral. Lineage: Eukaryota; Metazoa; Chordata; Mammalia; Rodentia; Sciuridae.